UGACCCCAGGUCAGGCGGGACUACCCGCUGAGUUU
Molecule: ribosomal RNA, 35 nt
Filed under: Apinagia nana
Lineage: Eukaryota; Viridiplantae; Streptophyta; Magnoliopsida; Malpighiales; Podostemaceae
Description: partial 26S ribosomal RNA
Source: RNAcentral